Molecule: ribosomal RNA, 253 nt
Filed under: Chitinophagaceae bacterium
Lineage: Bacteria; Pseudomonadati; Bacteroidota; Chitinophagia; Chitinophagales; Chitinophagaceae
Also listed under: 1 other name
Description: partial 16S ribosomal RNA
Rfam family: Bacterial small subunit ribosomal RNA
Source: RNAcentral
UACGGAGGGUGCAAGCGUUAUCCGGAUUUACUGGGUUUAAAGGGUGUGUAGGCGGACUUUUAAGUCAGUGGUGAAAUCUCCGGGCUCAACCCGGAAACUGCCAUUGAUACUAUUGGUCUUGAAUAUUGUGGAGGUGGGCGGAACGGGUCAUGUAGCGGUGAAAUGCUUAGAGAUGACCCGGAACACCGAUUGCGAAGGCAGCCCACUACGCAAUGAUUGACGCUGAGGCACGAAAGCGUGGGGAUCAAACAGG